ACUCCUACGGGAGGCAGCAGUGGGGAAUAUUGCACAAAUGGGGCGCAAGCCUGAUGCAGCCAUGCCGCGUGUGUGAAGAAGGCCUUCGGGUUGUAAAGCACUUUCAGUCGUGAGGAAGGUAGUGUAGUUAAUAGCUGCAUUAUUUGACGUUAGCGACAGAAGAAAGCACCGGCUAACUCCGUGCCAGCAGCCGCGGUAAUACGGAGGGUGCGAGCGUUAAUCGGAAUUACUGGGCGUAAAGCGCAUGCAGGUGGUUUGUUAAGUCAGAUGUGAAAG
Molecule: ribosomal RNA, 276 nt
Filed under: uncultured bacterium
Lineage: Bacteria
Description: partial 16S ribosomal RNA
Rfam family: Bacterial small subunit ribosomal RNA
Source: RNAcentral